ACUCAAAUGAAUUGACGGGGGCUCACACAAGCGGUGGAGCAUGUGGCUUAAUUCGAGGCUACGCGAAGAACCUUAUCCUGGACUUGACAUGUGCGAAAGCGCUCGGAAGUAGGCGGCGGAAACGUCUGCCCAACGGUAUCCAAUCCGGAACCGAGCACAGGUGCUGCAUGGCUGUCGUCAGCUCGUGUCGUGAGAUGUUGGGUUAAGUCCCGUAACGAGCGAAACCCUUGUCUCCAGUUGCCAGCGGGUCAUGCCGGGGACUCUGGAGAGACUGCCGGUGUUAAACCGGAGGAAGGCGGGGAUGACGUCAAGUCCUCAUGGCCUUUAUGUCCAGGGCUGCACACGUGCUACAAUGGCGUGUACAAAGGGAUGCCAACCCGCGAGGGGGAGCCAAUCCCAAAAAACACGCCCCAGUUCAGAUCGCAGGCUGCAACUCGCCUGCGUGAAGUUGGAAUCGCUAGUAAUCGCAGGUCAGCAACACUGCGGUGAAUGUGUUCCUGAGCCUUGCACACACCGCCCGU
This 521-nucleotide ribosomal RNA is filed under the name uncultured bacterium. RNAcentral's name for it is "partial 16S ribosomal RNA". It matches the Rfam family "Bacterial small subunit ribosomal RNA", at positions 899 to 1397 of the family's 1533-position model. The record is from RNAcentral.